This 253-nucleotide ribosomal RNA is filed under the name uncultured bacterium. RNAcentral's name for it is "partial 16S ribosomal RNA". It matches the Rfam family "Bacterial small subunit ribosomal RNA", at positions 524 to 776 of the family's 1533-position model. The record is from RNAcentral.
UACGGAGGGUGCGAGCGUUAUCCGGAAUUACUGGGUUUAAAGGGUACGUAGGCGGCUAUGUAAGUCAGGAGUGAAAGUUUGCGGCUCAACCGUAAAAUUGCUUUUGAUACUGCAUGGCUGGAAUUAGGAUGAGGUCAGCGGAAUGUGGCAUGUAGCGGUGAAAUGCAUAGAUAUGCCAUAGAACACCAAUUGCGACGGCAGCUGGCUAGACCUGGAUUGACGCUGAGGCACGAAAGCGUGGGGAGCGAACAGG